CUAGGGGUAGUAUAUUAGGAAGUACACAAAGUUUUGGAUUUUGUAGUGCAGGUUCGUUGCCUUGCCCCGUAGG
RNAcentral lists this transfer RNA (73 nucleotides) under Phelsuma guimbeaui. RNAcentral's name for it is "tRNA-Gln". It matches the Rfam family "tRNA". Rfam says of the family: Transfer RNA (tRNA) molecules are approximately 80 nucleotides in length. Their secondary structure includes four short double-helical elements and three loops (D, anti-codon, and T loops). Further hydrogen bonds mediate the characteristic L-shaped molecular structure. tRNAs have two regions of fundamental functional importance: the anti-codon, which is responsible for specific mRNA codon recognition, and the 3' end, to which the tRNAs corresponding amino acid is attached (by aminoacyl-tRNA synthetases). tRNAs cope with the degeneracy of the genetic code in two manners: having more than one tRNA (with a specific anti-codon) for a particular amino acid; and 'wobble' base-pairing, i.e. permitting non-standard base-pairing at the 3rd anti-codon position. The record is from RNAcentral. Lineage: Eukaryota; Metazoa; Chordata; Lepidosauria; Squamata; Gekkonidae.